UACGUAGGGGGCAAGCGUUGUCCGGAUUUAUUGGGCGUAAAGAGCGUGUAGGCGGUUAGGUAGGUCCGUUGUGAAAACUCGAGGCUCAACCUCGAGACGCCGAUGGAAACCAUCUGACUAGAGUCCGGAAGAGGAGAGUGGAAUUCCUGGUGUAGCGGUGAAAUGCGCAGAUAUCAGGAAGAACACCCGUGGCUAAGGCGGCUCUCUGGGACGGUACUGACGCUGAGACGCGAAAGCGUGGGGAGCGAACAGG
RNAcentral lists this ribosomal RNA (253 nucleotides) under uncultured bacterium. RNAcentral's name for it is "partial 16S ribosomal RNA". It matches the Rfam family "Bacterial small subunit ribosomal RNA", at positions 524 to 776 of the family's 1533-position model. The record is from RNAcentral.